UUGAAAUGGGGGCACCCUGAUCCAGCAAUGCCGCGUGUGUGAAGAAGGCCUGCGGGUUGUAAAGCACUUUCAGUAGGGACGAAAAUCCGGAGGCUAAUAUCCUCCGGGCUUGACUUAACCUACAGAAGAAGCACCGGCUAACUCUGUGCCAGCAGCCGCGGUAAUACAGAGGGUGCGAGCGUUAAUCGGAAUUACUGGGCGUAAAGGGUGCGUAGGUGGUUCGAUAAGUCAGAUGUGAACUCCCCGGGCUUAACCUGGGAAUUGCAUUUGAUACUGUCAGACUCGAGUGUGAUAGAGGUAAGCGGAAUUCCCGGUGUAGCGGUGAAAUGCGUAGAUAUCGGGAGGAACAUCAGUGGCGAAGGCGGCUUACUGGAUCAACACUGACACUGAGGCACGAAAGCGUGGGUAGCAAACAGGAUUAGAUACCCUGGUAGUCCACGCCCUAAACGAUGUCGACUAGCCGUUGGGCUCAUAAAAGAGCUUAGUGGCGCAGCUAACGCGAUAAGUCGACCGCCUGGGGAGUACGGCCGCAAGGCUAAAACUCAAAAAAAUUGACGGA
RNAcentral lists this ribosomal RNA (559 nucleotides) under uncultured bacterium. RNAcentral describes it as "bacterial SSU rRNA". It matches the Rfam family "Bacterial small subunit ribosomal RNA", at positions 364 to 917 of the family's 1533-position model. The record is from RNAcentral.